This 456-nucleotide ribosomal RNA is filed under the name Triticum aestivum (bread wheat). RNAcentral describes it as "partial small subunit ribosomal RNA". Lineage: Eukaryota; Viridiplantae; Streptophyta; Magnoliopsida; Poales; Poaceae. The record is from RNAcentral.
AUGGCAACCGCCACCGCCACCGCCGGGGCGUCCCCUUCCACCUCCUCGUCGCUCCUCCUCCGUCGACCCCUCCCUCCAAAUUCCACGGCCGCGCGCUGCCUCGCGCCACCGCGGUGCCGCGCGCGCCUCCGCACCGCGCGCCAGGUCGCCAUCAGCAGCGUGUCCCCAUCCCCCGACGUGGCGGACGAGGAGGCCGCGGCGGCGCCCAAGCUCGGCAAGCGCGUGCGCGUCACGGCGCCGGUCCGCGUCUACCACGUCCCCAAGGCGCCGGACCUGAACCUCCGCGGCAGGGAAGGUGUGGUCAAGCAGUAUGUCGGUGUCUGGAAGGGCAAGCGCAUCACGGCCAAUCGCCCUUUCCGGGUGGAGUUCCAGCUGAAGCUCGACGGACAGGACAAGCCUGUCCGGUUCUUCGCUCACCUCCGGGAGGACGAGUUCGAGUUCGUCAGAGACGAAUAG